Molecule: long non-coding RNA, 1124 nt
Organism: Oncorhynchus keta (chum salmon)
Lineage: Eukaryota; Metazoa; Chordata; Actinopteri; Salmoniformes; Salmonidae
Exons: 9
Source: RefSeq, a predicted model, not a curated record
UGGUGAACCUAUAGGUCUUCAGUGUGUGACAGGUUAGUAUAGUGGUGAACCUAUAGGUCUUCAGUGUGUGACAGGUUAGUACAGUGGUGAACCUAUAGGUCUUCAGUGUGUGACAGGUUAUUACAGUGGUGAACCUAUAGGUCUUCAGUGUGUGACAGGUUAGUACAGUGGUGAACCUAUAGGUCUUCAGUGUGUGACAGGUUAGUACAGUGGUGAACCUAUAGGUCUUCAGUGUGUGACAGGUUAGUACAGUGGUGAACCUAUGGGUCUUUAGUGUGUGACAGGUUAGUACAGUGGUGAACCUAUAGGCCUUCAGUGUGUGACAGGUUAGUACAGUGGUGAACCUAUAGGCCUUCAGUGUGUGACAGGUUAGUACAGUGGUGAACCUAUAGGCCUUCAGUGUGUGACAGGUUAGUACAGUGGUGAACCUAUAGGCCUUCAGUGUGUGACAGGUUAGUACAGUGGUGAACCUAUAGGUCUUCAGUGUGUGACAGGUUAGUACAGUGGUGAACCUAUAGGUCUUUAGUGUGUGACAGGUUAGUACAGUGGUGAACCUAUAGGUCUUUAGUGUGUGACAGGUUAGUACAGUGGUGAACCUAUAGGUCUUUAGUGUGUGACAGGUUAGUACAGUGGUGAACCUAUAGGUCUUUAGUGUGUGACAGGUUAGUACAGUGGUGAACCUAUAGGUCUUUAGUGUGUGACAGGUUAGUACAGUGGUGAACCUAUAGGUCUUUAGUGUGUGACAGGUUAGUACAGUGGUGAACCUAUAGGUCUUUAGUGUGUGACAGGUUAGUACAGUGGUGAACCUAUAGGUCUUCAGUGUGUGACAGGUUAGUACAGUGGUGAACCUAUAGGUCUUUAGUGUGUGACAGGUUAGUACAGUGGUGAACCUAUAGGUCUUUAGUGUGUGACAGGUUAGUACAGUGGUGAACCUAUAGGUCUUUAGUGUGUGACAGGUUAGUACAGUGGUGAACCUAUAGGUCUUUAGUGUGUGACAGGUUAGUACAGUGGUGAACCUAUAGGUCUUUAGUGUGUGACAGGUUAGUACAGUGGUGAACCUAUAGGUCUUUAGUGUGUGACAGGUUAGUACAGUGGUGAACCUAUAGGACCUUCAGUGUGUGACA